Thalassophryne amazonica is the source of this 379-nucleotide long non-coding RNA. RefSeq lists it as uncharacterized. The transcript has 3 exons. The record is from RefSeq and is a predicted model, not a curated record. NCBI's taxonomy places the organism in Eukaryota, Metazoa, Chordata, Actinopteri, Batrachoidiformes, Batrachoididae.
UAUACAAAUGACUGCUCAUCCAUCAAAUGUAGGUUAUGUUGAUUUUGAUCAUUUUUUGAAUGCCACCACCUCAGCAUCAUUUCAGGUUUUCUCCAAACAUUUCAUCAAUAGUUAAAAAAAGACAAAGGAGAAUAUUAUGAAACUUUUAGAAUGCUCAUUUAUUGCAAUACAAUCUUUGAAAAAUUGUAUUUAAAGAAAAGCUGCAUGCACUUUAAUGGGGCAAUUUAACAUUGUUUUUUUAUUCAGCCUUAUUUGUUCAAGCAAGAAGCAAGUUUGAAUAUCUGGUAUUCAUGGUCAUAGCUGCAGAAAGAUCAAAUCUUCAGACGUCCCUUCAGACGAGCCGUCACAGGUUCACGACGAAUACUGAUAAUUUGGCACA